AUGGAGCGCGUCAAUCAAUGUCCGGAGAUGUAUCUCUGCUGUGCAGUUCACGGCACUCCCAAGCAGUGGCGCAAAUGGCUUCCGACGGCAGAAUUCUGGUACAAUUCCACGCACCAUUCCUCUCUGAACUGCUCCCCUUUCAAGGCCUUAUACGGAAAAGAACCCAACCUGGGGGGUCUGCCGCACCUGAGUUCUGCAUUGCCGGAUGGCACCCCGGCGGCUGAGUUGGACUGGGCCAUGCACACGGAGCUGCUACGCGCCCAGCUUGCACGAGCUCAACACCGCUUCAAGAAACAAGCAGAUCGGCACAUGGCGGAGCGCGCCUUCGAUGUCGGGGAACAAGUUCUCCUCAAGCUGCAGCCGUACGCGCAAUCCUCCGUCGCCAACCACCCAUGCCGCAAAUUGGCAUAUAAGUUCUUUGGACCGUUCGUCGUCACCGAGCGCAUCGGCACCCUGGCGUACCGUCUCUAG
This 471-nucleotide ribosomal RNA is filed under the name Triticum aestivum (bread wheat). RNAcentral's name for it is "partial small subunit ribosomal RNA". The record is from RNAcentral. Lineage: Eukaryota; Viridiplantae; Streptophyta; Magnoliopsida; Poales; Poaceae.